Molecule: ribosomal RNA, 253 nt
Filed under: uncultured bacterium
Lineage: Bacteria
Description: partial 16S ribosomal RNA
Rfam family: Bacterial small subunit ribosomal RNA
Source: RNAcentral
UACGUAGGGUGCAAGCGUUGUCCGGAAUUAUUGGGCGUAAAGAGCUCGUAGGUGGUUUGUCGCGUCGAAUGUGAAAACCCGGGGCUCAACCCCGGGCCUGCAUUCGAUACGGGCAGACUAGAGUGUGGUAGGGGAGACUGGAAUUCCUGGUGUAGCGGUGAAAUGCGCAGAUAUCAGGAGGAACACCGAUGGCGAAGGCAGGUCUCUGGGCCACUACUGACGCUGAGAAGCGAAAGCGUGGGGAGCGAACAGG